UUUAUACGGUAANAAAUUGACCUACGUGUAGGUUAUUGAAGGUACCGUACGAAUAAGGAUCGGCUAACUCCGUGCCAGCAGCCGCGGUAAUACGGAGGAUCCAAGCGUUAUCCGGAUUCAUUGGGUUUAAAGGGUCCGUAGGCGGGUCUUUAAGUCAGAGGUGAAAGCCUGCAGCUCANCUGUGGAAUUGCCUUUGAUACUGGAGACCUUGAGUGUGCGUGAAGUAGGCGGAAUAAGUCAUGUAGCGGUGAAAUGCAUAGAUAUGACUUAGAACACCGAUUGCGAAGGCAGCUUACUAAAGCACUACUGACGCUGAGGGACGAAAGCGUGGGGAGCGAACAGGAUUAGAUACCCUGGUAGUCCACGCCGUAAACGAUGAUAACUCGCUGUCGGCGAUAUACGGUCGGCGGCCAAGCGAAAGCGUUAAGUUAUCCACCUGGGGAGUACGCCGGCAACGGUGAAACU
Molecule: ribosomal RNA, 465 nt
Filed under: uncultured bacterium
Lineage: Bacteria
Description: bacterial SSU rRNA
Rfam family: Bacterial small subunit ribosomal RNA
Source: RNAcentral